UACGUAGGGACCGAGCGUUGUCCGGAUUCAUUGGGCGUAAAGAGCUCGUAGGCGGCUGCUCAAGUCGAAUGUGAAAACUCGAGGCUCAACCUCGAGCCUGCAUUCGAUACUGGGCGGCUAGAGUCUGAUAGGGGGAUCUGGAAUUCCUGGUGUAGCGGUGGAAUGCGCAGAUAUCGGGAAGAACACCCGUGGCGAAGGCGGUUCUCUGGGACGGUACUGACGCUGAGACGCGAAAGCGUGGGGAGCGAACAGG
RNAcentral lists this ribosomal RNA (253 nucleotides) under uncultured bacterium. Its description in RNAcentral is "partial 16S ribosomal RNA". It matches the Rfam family "Bacterial small subunit ribosomal RNA", at positions 524 to 776 of the family's 1533-position model. The record is from RNAcentral.